This 253-nucleotide ribosomal RNA is filed under the name uncultured bacterium. RNAcentral describes it as "partial 16S ribosomal RNA". It matches the Rfam family "Bacterial small subunit ribosomal RNA", at positions 524 to 776 of the family's 1533-position model. The record is from RNAcentral.
UACGGAGGGUGCAAGCGUUAAUCGGAAUUACUGGGCGUAAAGCGCACGCAGGUGGCUGAGUCAGUCGAUUGUGAAAGCCCUGGGCUUAACCUGGGAAUUGCAGUCGAUACUACUCAGCUAGAGUAUGGGAGAGGGCAGUGGAAUUCCCGGUGUAGCGGUGAAAUGCGUAGAUAUCAGGAGGAACACCGGUGGCGAAGGCGGAUCUCUGGGCCUUACCUGACGCUGAGGCGCGAAAGCUAGGGGAGCGAACAGG